Molecule: small RNA, 356 nt
Filed under: Nigrograna mackinnonii
Lineage: Eukaryota; Fungi; Ascomycota; Dothideomycetes; Pleosporales; Nigrogranaceae
Description: eukaryotic LSU rRNA
Rfam family: Eukaryotic large subunit ribosomal RNA
Source: RNAcentral
GGGAGGUAAAUUUCUUCUAAAGCUAAAUAUUGGCCAGAGACCGAUAGCGCACAAGUAGAGUGAUCGAAAGAUGAAAAGCACUUUGGAAAGAGAGUCAAAAAGCACGUGAAAUUGUUGAAAGGGAAGCGCUUGCAAUCAGACUUGCCUGUAGUUGCUCAUCUGGACUUUUGUCCGGUGCACUCUUCUGCGGGCAGGCCAGCAUCAGUUCAGGCGGCUGGAUAAAGGCCUCUAUCACGUAUCUUCCUUCGGGAUGACCUUAUAGGGGAGGUGUAAUGCAGCCAGCCUGGAUUGAGGUCCGCGCAUCUGCUAGGAUGCUGGCGUAAUGAUUGUAAGCGGCCCGUCUUGAAACACGGGAC